RNAcentral lists this ribosomal RNA (465 nucleotides) under Vreelandella stevensii. Its description in RNAcentral is "partial 16S ribosomal RNA". It matches the Rfam family "Bacterial small subunit ribosomal RNA", at positions 338 to 795 of the family's 1533-position model. The record is from RNAcentral. Lineage: Bacteria; Pseudomonadati; Pseudomonadota; Gammaproteobacteria; Oceanospirillales; Halomonadaceae.
CCUACGGGGCGCAGCAGUGGGGAAUAUUGGACAAUGGGGGCAACCCUGAUCCAGCCAUGCCGCGUGUGUGAAGAAGGCCCUCGGGUUGUAAAGCACUUUCAGUGAGGAAGAACGCCUGGUGGUUAAUACCCAUCAGGAAAGACAUCACUCACAGAAGAAGCACCGGCUAACUCCGUGCCAGCAGCCGCGGUAAUACGGAGGGUGCGAGCGUUAAUCGGAAUUACUGGGCGUAAAGCGCGCGUAGGUGGCUUGAUAAGCCGGUUGUGAAAGCCCCGGGCUCAACCUGGGAACGGCAUCCGGAACUGUCAAGCUAGAGUGCAGGAGAGGAAGGUAGAAUUCCCGGUGUAGCGGUGAAAUGCGUAGAGAUCGGGAGGAAUACCAGUGGCGAAGGCGGCCUUCUGGACUGACACUGACACUGAGGUGCGAAAGCGUGGGUAGCAAACAGGAUUAGAUACCCUUGUAGUC